This 836-nucleotide ribosomal RNA is filed under the name Hypoderma berberidis. RNAcentral's name for it is "eukaryotic LSU rRNA". It matches the Rfam family "Eukaryotic large subunit ribosomal RNA", at positions 75 to 928 of the family's 3401-position model. Lineage: Eukaryota; Fungi; Ascomycota; Leotiomycetes; Rhytismatales; Rhytismataceae. The record is from RNAcentral.
UUGCCUCAGUAACGGCGAGUGAAGCGGCAACAGCUCAAAUUUGAAAGCUGGCUCUUUCAGGGCCCGCGUUGUAAUUUGUAGAGGAUGCUUCGGGUGCGGCGCUGGUCUAAGUUCUUUGGAACAAGACGUCAUAGAGGGUGAGAAUCCCGUAUGUGACUGGUUGCCUGUGCCUAUGUGAAGCUCCUUCGACGAGUCGAGUUGUUUGGGAAUGCAGCUCUAAAUGGGUGGUGUACUUCAUCUAAAGCUAAAUAUUGGGUCUAGACCGAUAGCGCACAAGUAGAGUGAUCGAAAGAUGAAAAGCACUUUGGAAAGAGAGUUAAACAGUACGUGAAAUUGUUGAAAGGGAAGCGCUUGCAAUCAGACUUGCGCUGCGUCGAUCAACCUGGGUUCUCCCUGGUGCACUCGGCGCAGCUCAGGCCAGCAUCAGUUUUGGCGGCUGGAUAAAGGCCUAGGGAACGUGGGUCGCCUCGGCGACCGUUAUAGCCCUAGGUGCAAUGCAGCCUGCUGGGACUGAGGACCGCGCUUCGGCUAGGAUGCUGGCGUAAUGGUUGUAAGCGACCCGUCUUGAAACACGGACCAAGGAGUCUAACAUUUAUGCGAGUGUUUGGGUGUUAAACCCAUACGCGCAAUGAAGGUGAACGGAGGUGAGAACCCUUAAGGGUGCAUCAUCGACCGAUCCUGAUGUCUUCGGAUGGAUUUGAGUAAGAGCAUAACUGUUGGGACCCGAAAGAUGGUGAACUAUGCCUGAAUAGGGUGAAGYCAGAGGAAACUCUGGUGGAGGCUCGCAGCGGUUCUGACGUGCAAAUCGAUCGUCAAAUUUGGGUAUAGGGGCGAAA